CUCAGAUUGAACGCUGCGGCAUGCUACACAUGCAAGUCGAACGGGUACUUCGGUACUUAGUGCGGACGGGUGAGUAAGGCGUAGGAAUCUGCCACGAGAGGGGACAACCUGGGAAACUCAGGCUAAUACCGCAUACGCUCGCGAGAGGAAAGCGGGGGACUUCGGACCUCGCGCUGGUGGAAGAGCCUACGUCCGAUUAGCUAGUUGGUAGGGUAAAAGCCUACCAAGGCGACGAUCGGUAGCUGGUCUGAGAGGAUGAUCAGCCACACUGGGACUGAGACACGGCCCAGACUCCUACGGGAGGCAGCAGUGGGGAAUAUUGGACAAUGGGCGCAAGCCUGAUCCAGCAAUGCCGCGUGGGUGAAGACGGCCUGCGGGUUGUAAAGCCCUUUAAGUGGGGAGGAACGGUCGGGUGUGAACAGCGCCUGAUUAUGACGUUACCCAC
This 445-nucleotide ribosomal RNA is filed under the name uncultured Gammaproteobacteria bacterium. RNAcentral describes it as "bacterial SSU rRNA". It matches the Rfam family "Bacterial small subunit ribosomal RNA", at positions 23 to 482 of the family's 1533-position model. The record is from RNAcentral. Lineage: Bacteria; Pseudomonadati; Pseudomonadota; Gammaproteobacteria.